ACCCUACCCCAUGAAAACAGGGUCAUGACUCACUUUGGGUUCCCGAUCCACAGUUUGAGAACCGCUGGAUUAGAAAAAAAUGGUCUGUGAAU
This is a non-coding RNA of Chelonoidis abingdonii (Abingdon island giant tortoise), 92 nucleotides long. Lineage: Eukaryota; Metazoa; Chordata; Testudines; Testudinidae. The record is from RefSeq and is a predicted model, not a curated record.